CAGCAGCCGCGGUAGUACAGAGGGUGCGAGCGUUAAUCGGAUUUACUGGGCGUAAAGCGUGCGUAGGCGGCUUCUUAAGUCGGAUGUGAAAUCCCUGAGCUUAACUUAGGAAUUGCAUUCGAUACUGGGAAGCUAGAGUAUGGGAGAGGAUGGUAGAAUUCCAGGUGUAGCGGUGAAAUGCGUAGAGAUCUGGAGGAAUACCGAUGGCGAAGGCAGCCAUCUGGCCUAAUACUGACGCUGAGGUACGAAAGCAUGGGGAGCAAACAGGAUUAGAUACCCCAGUAGUCCCUGUCUCUUAUAC
This 301-nucleotide ribosomal RNA is filed under the name uncultured bacterium. RNAcentral's name for it is "partial 16S ribosomal RNA". It matches the Rfam family "Bacterial small subunit ribosomal RNA", at positions 509 to 807 of the family's 1533-position model. The record is from RNAcentral.